Molecule: non-coding RNA, 124 nt
Organism: Triticum aestivum (bread wheat)
Lineage: Eukaryota; Viridiplantae; Streptophyta; Magnoliopsida; Poales; Poaceae
Source: Rfam
AUUAUACUUCCUCUGUUCGAAAAUACUUGUCCUAAAAAUGGAUAAAAUGUAUGUAUCUAUAAUUAAAAUAAGUCUAGAUACAACCAUUCCUAAGAAAAGUAUUUCCGGACGGAGAGAGUACAAU